CGCGUAGGUGGUUUGGUCAGUCAGAUGUGAAAGCCCCGGGCUCAACCUGGGAACUGCACCUGAUACUGCCAAACUAGAGUACGGUAGAGGGUAGUGGAAUUUCCGGUGUAGCGGUGAAAUGCGUAGAGAUCGGAAAGAACACCAGUGGCGAAGGCGACUACCUGGACCGAUACUGACACUGAGGUGCGAAAGCGUGGGUAGCAAACA
Molecule: ribosomal RNA, 207 nt
Filed under: uncultured bacterium
Lineage: Bacteria
Description: partial 16S ribosomal RNA
Rfam family: Bacterial small subunit ribosomal RNA
Source: RNAcentral